Bombina bombina (fire-bellied toad) is the source of this 700-nucleotide long non-coding RNA. RefSeq lists it as uncharacterized. NCBI's taxonomy places the organism in Eukaryota, Metazoa, Chordata, Amphibia, Anura, Bombinatoridae. The transcript has 2 exons. The record is from RefSeq and is a predicted model, not a curated record.
UCCUGACCCUGUAAGUUAAAAUCUACCUUUGGCAACUUCAGGGUACACAGUGUUACUGCUAAACACUGACCAAAGAUUUCUUCAAACCUCAAAAAGUCUGAGGGAACCCAGAUGAAAGUAAUAUUUGGGCUAUAAGAAGAAAGGAAAACAAAAAAGGAUAACUACAUUAACAGAAUGGAUCAUCACCUCUGACCUCUGAAUCAAAGAGAAGGUCAGGUGACUCAUCAGAAGCACCAGAAUCAAACAGUCUGUGAAUCCCUCACAGUGAAGAAUAUCAGCGGUUGCAACCAGGACAGAAUAAGACAAAUUGUUUGACACCGUGGAGACAAACCUUAAUUAAGUGAUUUCCAGACACUAUGUUAAGUGAUGAAAAUGAUACCCCCGAACAGAUUAUAAAACGGCAUGUGGAAGAAUAAUGAAGAGAUUAAGAGAAGGAUAUGAAUUUGAUGUAAAGAGGAGGAUGUAUAGUGAAGGAUAUUGAAAGAUUAUGAUUUCAGAUGGGAUUAUGUCUCUGUUAUAUGAAUCUAAUGGUUUAUUAUGUUUUAAUUCACUUUUCUCAUAUUCUGAAAGUUUCAUGUUAAUGUGCAAGUUCUGUGUGUCCUAAUCUAAUGAAAACAAUGUACCAACAAUUAAAAAAUACAAUUAUUUGAAGACAGACUAAAACCCAAUUGUUAAAUUAAAGGAACAGUCUACUUAAGAA